Molecule: ribosomal RNA, 443 nt
Filed under: Microbacterium sp. oral taxon C11
Lineage: Bacteria; Bacillati; Actinomycetota; Actinomycetes; Micrococcales; Microbacteriaceae
Description: bacterial SSU rRNA
Rfam family: Bacterial small subunit ribosomal RNA
Source: RNAcentral
GACGAACGCUGGCGGCGUGCUUAACACAUGCAAGUCGAACGAUGAUCAGGAGCUUGCUCCUGUGAUUAGUGGCGAACGGGUGAGUAACACGUGAGUAACCUGCCCCUGACUCUGGGAUAAGCGUUGGAAACGACGUCUAAUACUGGAUAUGAUCACUGGCCGCAUGGUCUGGUGGUGGAAAGAUUUUUUGGUUGGGGAUGGACUCGCGGCCUAUCAGCUUGUUGGUGAGGUAAUGGCUCACCAAGGCGACGACGGGUAGCCGGCCUGAGAGGGUGACCGGCCACACUGGGACUGAGACACGGCCCAGACUCCUACGGGAGGCAGCAGUGGGGAAUAUUGCACAAUGGGCGAAAGCCUGAUGCAGCAACGCCGCGUGAGGGAUGACGGCCUUCGGGUUGUAAACCUCUUUUAGUAGGGAAGAAAGCGAAAAGGGACGGAACCUG